Molecule: ribosomal RNA, 109 nt
Filed under: Propithecus coquereli (Coquerel's sifaka)
Lineage: Eukaryota; Metazoa; Chordata; Mammalia; Primates; Indriidae
Source: RNAcentral
GUCUAUGGCCAUACCUCCCUGAAGGUGCCCAAUCUUUUCUGAUCUUGGAAGCUGAGCAGAGUCAGGCCUGGUUAGUACUUGGAUGGGAGAAAAAUAGAAAUUAAAAUUA